Chrysemys picta bellii (western painted turtle) is the source of this 2501-nucleotide long non-coding RNA. RefSeq lists it as uncharacterized. Lineage: Eukaryota; Metazoa; Chordata; Testudines; Emydidae. The record is from RefSeq and is a predicted model, not a curated record.
UGUAUGUUUUUAAGAACAGGUUGGGCCAAUACCUGUCAGGGAUGGUCUAGGUUUACUUGGUCCUGCCACAGCACAGGGGGCUGGACUUGAUGAGCUCUUGGGAUUCCUUCCAGCCCCAUAUUUCUAUUAUUCUAUUAUUAAAGAUAAUGACAUAAUCAAAUCUCAUGAUUUAGGGCUUUAGCUGGCCACCUGCAGGGGUCAGGAAGGAUUUUUGCCCCCGAUGCACAAUUGGCCAGUUGUAUUUUUCAGGGGUAGGGAGGUUGCCUUGAUCUAAAGAUUGGCCGCAGCUAGAGACAGGACGCUGGACCGGGUGGACUGGGGCUUUGAAGUGGUACAGAGGAUCCUCUUUUGAUGUGUGUUGCUCCCAUGCUCAGGAUUAUAGAGAUCACCAGAUGUAGGAUUGAGAGGGAAUUUUCUCCCAAGUCAGACUGGCAGGAACCUUCUGGGUUUUCAUUUCCCCUGCAGCAUGGGGUGUGGUUCAUCUGCUGGGAUCAUCUGGGCAUAUCUCACCUAAACAAUUUCCAGCUAUUGCAGGGGUCUGGGGCGUUGUUGGCAUGUUGAUCUCUCGUUUUCUCCCUAUGACACUCAGUUUAGUCUCCUGAAGACCAAAAUGCUUUGAUCUAACUUAAAACUUUGGGCUUAAAAUAGGGUUAGCUAAGUGAAAAAUAGUGGCCUGUGGUAUGUAAGUGAUCAGACUAGAUUUGAUGGUCCAUUCUGGCUUUGAACUCUAUGAAAUGGAACAUCACAAGCACUGGCAACAGUGUAUACAGUUGUCAGAGAGAGAUCUGGUGCUGCCUCGCUUUAGUGGCCCCGUCUCUAUUGCCAGACAAAUGUUAGUGUGAAAUAGUGAAUCCAGAGACAUCUGUCACAGCCACAAUCAAGUACCCACCCUCCGUCAUUGUAACACAAAGGUCAUGUCUCUGAUAUCACACAGCUGCUAAACUGCUGACCUGCCUGAAAUAGUGUCAGUGACGAUGAGACACUCUGGUUUGUUAUUUUCUUCAGGUUGUAGGACUAGGAGCAAUUUGCUUUACCUACAGUACUCUUGCUCAGGUUCUCAACUGAGAGCACACACUUCACAAAGUUCAUGCCAGACAAUGUCUGCAGCUGGGAGUGCCCAAAAGAACAUUCUACACCCUCAAACUGCUAGUCUUUUUUCUUGUUGCUUGUCUAGUUAAAGUCAAUUUUCCUCCUAGCAAAAGAUUAACAGUGCCAAAAGGUUCCAUGUUAGACUAGUGUUUAAUACAUUUACUAGUGAUCUGGAAAAGAGGUUGAGCAGUAAGAUGGCAACAUUUGCAGAUGACACAAAAUUAUUUAGGUUAGUCAAGACUAACUUUUUUUUACAAUCUUCUCCAGUGGUAGAUUAGGAAGUUUAUUUAUUCUUUAUUCAAGAAUAUUUUUCUUAAUACAAAAACAAUGGGAUGUUCAAAAAUAUGACAAAUUUAAAAAUUGAUAAAAGGAAAAAAAUAUACAAACACAUUGCUAAAAGGCAUUGUGGCCAAGAGCGUAGCAAGAUUCAAAAAAUGAUUUGCCAUUUGAUGGAUAACAAUAUCUAGAGUUAUAAUAGUAAGGAUUAAAAACAAGGUAGCCAAGAGUUUUGGAAGAGAUAUAAACCUUCCUGCUUCAUAGUAUAAACAACUUCUAAUUUAUGAAGUUAGGAAGAAACUUUCUCUGUAGGAAAGUUAUUCCAUAAUUGUCUUUUGCAAAAUUUCUUGAAUAGACAGGAUUCUGAACUAGAUAAAUCACUUGUUCUGAUCCAGUAUAGCAAUUUCUCUGUUCCUAAAGGUUUGAGAUGCCAUAGGAACUAAGCAUGCAUGGUCUGGGUGAUAAAUAAAUAAUAUAAGGAAUUGCCUAAAAAACAGCAAUAGAAAUUAUAAAAUGGCUCAGCCCAAGGGAGAUUCUGAGUCAAGGUAUGCAUCCGACGAAGUGGGCAUUCACCCACGAAAGCUUAUGUUCCAAUACAUCUGUUAGUCUUAAAGGUGCCACAGGACUCUAUGUUGCUUUUUUCAGAAGCAAUGUGCAAGAUAUUGUCCGGCAACUGGAACAAAGUAGAUCUAGCUUAGUUGUCAGAACCUAAUGGUCAGAGCAGGCAUCAGGAACCAAGGACUAGUGUCAGAGUGGGAAUCAGUAGUUGGAAGAUGGAGCCAAGGGUCAAACCAGAGGGCAGGAACUGGAUACCAGAGCCAAGGGUCAAGCUGCAGUGAGAAACCAGAGCCACAAAUCAAGCCAGAAGUCAGGAACUGCAGUAAGCAGGUAACAGGCAAAGGGUGGGGCGGGGCUUAAGGCAGGGGCAGCAGGACAGUGGCAAAGCAGGAUGCAAGAAAGGAGCAGCAGGAACAAGAGAAUCAAACUGGUUGGUUUGCAACUGCUCAGAUGCCAGGGAAGACCCGUUCGGAUGGGAUGUUGUGGACAGGAUGGCUGGCAACCUCCAAAGAAUCCAGAGAUGAUCUUGGGAGCCCAGCCUCCCUCUUUGUUAUCGGUGGCAGAACGGCUGCACAGAA